Molecule: ribosomal RNA, 253 nt
Filed under: uncultured bacterium
Lineage: Bacteria
Description: partial 16S ribosomal RNA
Rfam family: Bacterial small subunit ribosomal RNA
Source: RNAcentral
UACGGGGGGGGUAAGCGUUGUUCGGAAUUACUGGGCGUAAAGGGCUCGUAGGUGGCCAACUAAGUCAGACGUGAAAUCCCUCGGCUUAACCGGGGAACUGCGUCUGAUACUGGAUGGCUUGAGUUUGGGAGAGGGACGCGGAAUUCCAGGUGUAGCGGUGAAAUGCGUAGAUAUCUGGAGGAACACCGGUGGCGAAGGCGGCAUCCUGGACCGGUAUUGACGCUGAUGCGCGAAAGCCAGGGGAGCAAACGGG